This 72-nucleotide transfer RNA is filed under the name Ovis aries (sheep). It matches the Rfam family "tRNA". Rfam says of the family: Transfer RNA (tRNA) molecules are approximately 80 nucleotides in length. Their secondary structure includes four short double-helical elements and three loops (D, anti-codon, and T loops). Lineage: Eukaryota; Metazoa; Chordata; Mammalia; Artiodactyla; Bovidae. The record is from Rfam by way of RNAcentral.
UUCCUGGUAGCUGAGACGGUAAAGCGUCUGCCUACAAUGCAGGAGACCCAGGUUCGAUCCCUAGGUUGGGAA